UACGGAGGAUCCAAGCGUUAUCCGGAAUCAUUGGGUUUAAAGGGUCCGUAGGCGGUUUAAUAAGUCAGUGGUGAAAGCCCAUCGCUCAACGGUGGAACGGCCAUUGAUACUGUUAAACUUGAAUUAUUAGGAAGUAACUAGAAUAUGUAGUGUAGCGGUGAAAUGCUUAGAGAUCACAUGGAAUACCAAUUGCGAAGGCAGGUUACUACUAAUGGAUUGACGCUGAUGGACGAAAGCGUGGGUAGCGAACAGG
This 253-nucleotide ribosomal RNA is filed under the name uncultured bacterium. Its description in RNAcentral is "partial 16S ribosomal RNA". It matches the Rfam family "Bacterial small subunit ribosomal RNA", at positions 524 to 776 of the family's 1533-position model. The record is from RNAcentral.